GACGAAGAACGUAGUGAAAUGCGAUAAGUAAUGUGAAUUGCAGAAUUCAGUGAAUCAUCGAAUCUUUGAACGCACAUUGCGCCCCUUGGUAUUCCGAGGGGCAUGCCUGUUCGAGCGUCAUUAUAACCCCUCAAGCUCAGCUUGGUGUUGGGGCCUGCUGCACUGGCAGCCCUUAAAAUCAGUGGCGGCGCCAUCUGGCUCUAAGCGUAGUAAUUCUUCUCGCUAUGGAGUCCUGGUGGAUGCUUGCCAUCAACCCCCAAUUUUUCUAUGGUUGACCUCGGAUCAGGUAGGGAUACCCGCUGAACUUAAGCAUAUCAAUAAGCGGAGGA
RNAcentral lists this unclassified non-coding RNA (329 nucleotides) under soil metagenome. Its description in RNAcentral is "partial contains 5.8S ribosomal RNA, internal transcribed spacer 2, and large subunit ribosomal RNA". The stretch from base 1 to 120 matches the Rfam family "5.8S ribosomal RNA", at positions 35 to 154 of the family's 154-position model. The record is from RNAcentral.